GACUAGAAAUAGACAAGAAGCAGCAGGGUUUAGGGCUGGCCUGCCACCCUCAAAAAGGGUACAGGGCCCCUCUGCAUCCUUUCUUCACAGUUUCUUUUCUAAACCUGGAUCCUGUGUCCAUAGCAGGUAGGGGGCUGGCCAGAUCUCAGUGGUUCCUUCAGGCCCCACCCAGGAAAGAUCACAGGUCCUCUUUGCUCGCAGAGGCCCCAGAUUUAUUCGGGUGACCAUCCCCAGACUGGAGUCAUGACCCUGAGUGGGAUGCGGGGACAGAGUGCAACACCUUUCCAAUGGGCUUCAUUUCUCUCUGGCUUCCUCUCUGAUUCUCUUUCCUCCCACUCCCGAAUCCUCUGAGACUGUUGUUCAGACCUUGGUCUUGAAAGCGAUCAAGACUCCUCUCUGUUUUAAGUUUUAAAUAAAAAGCCUGCAUAUUCCCCUGCUUCUUUCUCUCUGCAUUUCUGAAAUCCUCCUCUGAAGGCCAGAGAACUCACCAGACAUUCAGCGGAGGGACCUCAGGAUGAAGGUUCGUGUGGGUUUAGGGACGGGAAAGGUUAAUAUUCACCGUUAUCAUCCUGCCACUUAUUAAAAGUUAUUUCUUUUCAAAGAUAUUUACCAUGCUUCAGUAAUAAACACAGAAGACAGAUGCUAAAAUGAUCCAUCAUGUGAUCAUGAAGAGAGAAGAACAGCACCACAGUGUAUUACAAAUUCACCUCUUGCUGCGCAAGCUGUGACUCCCCUGUAAGGUNNNNNNNNNNNNNNAAAAGGGAAGGCCCUAAGCCUGGGAGCCUCAAAUCCAGACCUGCACCGUGAGCCGCCUGGGACCCUUGCAAUUUCUCACAAGUGCACCUUCCCAUGAGGCUGCAGCCUGCCGACCAAGACACGUCUAUGACCAGUGCGCGCGAACGCCCAGAGCCAGCAGACACACAUCCUCCUGUGUUGGAGGUCCCCACAGGUUAUUGCUCAGUCAAGCUCACCUCAAAGAUGAAGACAUGAGAUCCCAUAUAGGCCCCUUGGAUUCCAGCCCAAGCUAGAGGCAAUUUUUUUGAUGC
This 1046-nucleotide long non-coding RNA is filed under the name Capra hircus (goat). RNAcentral's name for it is "lncRNA (ENSCHIG00010021604.1)". Lineage: Eukaryota; Metazoa; Chordata; Mammalia; Artiodactyla; Bovidae. The record is from RNAcentral.